This 425-nucleotide ribosomal RNA is filed under the name uncultured bacterium. RNAcentral describes it as "bacterial SSU rRNA". It matches the Rfam family "Bacterial small subunit ribosomal RNA", at positions 28 to 432 of the family's 1533-position model. The record is from RNAcentral.
GACGAACGCUGGCGGCGUGCUUAACACAUGCAAGUCGAACGAGAAGAGAUGAGAAGCUUGCUUCUUAUCAAUUCGAGUGGCAAACGGGUGAGUAAACGCGUAAGCAACCUGCCCUUCAGAUGGGGACAACAGCUGGAAACGGCUGCUAAUACCGAAUACGUUCUCUUUAUCGCAUGGUAGAGGGAAGAAAGGGAGGCUCUUCGGAGCUUUCGCUGAAGGAGGGGCUUGCGUCUGAUUAGCUAGUUGGAGGGGUAACGGCCCACCAAGGCGACGAUCAGUAGCCGGUCUGAGAGGAUGAACGGCCACAUUGGGACUGAGACACGGCCCAGACUCCUACGGGAGGCAGCAGUGGGGAAUCUUCCGCAAAUGGACGAAAGUCUGACGGAGCAACGCCGCGUGAACGAUGACGGCCUCGGUUGUAAGUU